This 350-nucleotide ribosomal RNA is filed under the name uncultured Desulfobulbus sp. Its description in RNAcentral is "bacterial SSU rRNA". It matches the Rfam family "Bacterial small subunit ribosomal RNA", at positions 1032 to 1382 of the family's 1533-position model. The record is from RNAcentral. Lineage: Bacteria; Pseudomonadati; Thermodesulfobacteriota; Desulfobulbia; Desulfobulbales; Desulfobulbaceae.
AGACAGGUGCUGCAUGGCUGUCGUCAGCUCGUGUCGUGAGAUGUUGGGUUAAGUCCCGCAACGAGCGCAACCCUUGCCUUUAGUUGCCAGCAGUUCGGCUGGGCGCUCUAAAGGGACUGCCGGUGUUAAACCGGAGGAAGGUGGGGAUGACGUCAAGUCCUCAUGGCCUUUAUGACCAGGGCUACACACGUACUACAAUGGCCGAUACAAAGGGCAGCGACACUGCGAGGUGAAGCCAAUCCCGUAAAAUCGGUCUCAGUCCGGAUUGGAGUCUGCAACUCGACUCCAUGAAGUUGGAAUCGCUAGUAAUCGUGGAUCAGCAUGCCACGGUGAAUACGUUCCCGGGCCUU